AGGUGACGACCCGCAGGGAGCCUGACAGGUGUUGCAUGGCUGUCGUCAGCUCGUGUCGUGAGAUGUUCGGUUAAGUCCGCUAACGAGCGCAACCCUCGCCGCGUGUUAUACGUGUCACGCGGGACCGCCGGUAUUAAGCCGGAGGAAGGCGGGGAUGACGUCAAGUCAGCAUGGCCUUUAUGCCUGGGGCUACACACACGCUACAAUGGGCAGUACAAUGGGUUGCCAAGCCGCGAGGUGGAGCCAAUCCCGCAAAACUGUCCUCAGUUCAGAUUGCAGGCUGCAACUCGCCUGCAUGAAGCUGGAGUUGCUAGUAAACGCGCGUCAGCUAUAGUGCGUUGAAUACGUUCUCGGGUCUG
Molecule: ribosomal RNA, 359 nt
Filed under: uncultured bacterium
Lineage: Bacteria
Description: bacterial SSU rRNA
Rfam family: Bacterial small subunit ribosomal RNA
Source: RNAcentral